CGUUUUAGAAACAUCAGUGGCCAACAGAUCGCCAGAUCGUUGAGCUGCAUUGGCGGGAUUUCGCCGUCUUCGUUUCUCUUUCUUCGCGGACGAACACGCGCUGGGCCUGCAACGGCAGGAUCCAGGGUCCUUAACGGGAUGUGCGUUAGGGGCUUGUAGCUCAGUUGGUUAGAGCGCGCGCUUGAUAAGCGUGAGGUCGGAAGUUCAAGUCUUCCCAGGCCCACCACUUUCAUCGAGUGAGCAUUCGUCUUCUGGUUACGGGGCCAUAGCUCAGCUGGGAGAGCGCGUGCUUUGCAAGCAUGAGGUCGUCGGUUCGAUCCCGUCUGGCUCCACCAGAUGGUUUGAUCACCGAGAUCUUGACCGUCGUCCGCGAAACAUCACUUCGCAUCCUGCUAGUCUGGAUAGACAGCAGUUUGCGUGUUUUCUGACAUCGUAAAGAGGAGAUCGAUCCGAGUUGGGUCGUGCAGCAUAUCGUUGCGCGAGCCUUCAUUAUCUCCGGAUCAUUUCGGCGCUCGCUUCCAGCCGUGAGGUUGGAUGCGGGUUGUAAAUGAUCCUUUUAGCGAAGCUUGACCGCCUCGCUAUCGGAACGAUCUUACGAAGCAAGCUGGUCUUUCUAGUCAAUGUCCGGCUGCGGAUAGCGUUCAUCGAGGGCGCGUGCCGCAAGGCAAUUCUGCAGACAACAUUCUGCCGAGUGUGUGGACAUUGAUAAUGAGAGCAAUCAAGUGCCUUAAGGGUGUUCGGUGGAUGCCUUGGCGCUGAGAGGCGAUGAAGGACGUGCUACGCUGCGAUAAGCCGUGGGGAGCUGCGAAGAAGCUUUGAUCCGCGGAUU
This 829-nucleotide unclassified non-coding RNA is filed under the name Bradyrhizobium sp. Its description in RNAcentral is "partial 16S-23S ribosomal RNA intergenic spacer". The stretch from base 717 to 829 matches the Rfam family "Bacterial large subunit ribosomal RNA", at positions 1 to 112 of the family's 2925-position model. Lineage: Bacteria; Pseudomonadati; Pseudomonadota; Alphaproteobacteria; Hyphomicrobiales; Nitrobacteraceae. The record is from RNAcentral.